CUUCCUGCAGCCUCUCUGUCUGUUUUUGCAUUGUCUCGCUGUGGGGAAGGUGGCAAACAGGCUAGCAGGAGCUGCAGCCCUGAAUGGACUGGAGAAAGCUUGGCUGCCAAUCACCCCUCUCUUUAAGCUAUGCUACCCUUAUUCAAUAGAGGGUUGUUUUAGUGAACCUUUCCAGAAUGGCAGGACCAGUAUUUGAAAUUGUGCAUUGUCUGCUCCAAGCCUGAUCCAGAUGGUGUAGCACAAUACGGAAAUGCUGCACCUUUAAACUCUUUAGAGAACACCUUAGCAAGGUGUGUGGUGCUGUAGGAAACACCUGCAUGGGGCUCUGGUCUCUUUCUACCCAGCUGACUUUUUUCAGCCAUGCACUGGCUUGGGGUCAGCCCUCGCAAGCAGGUGUUUUCCUUCAGAAUAGCUUUCUUGUCUGCAUCCAAGUGGAUCACAAGGGCCGAACUUCACUGCCGGAGGUCACAGGUCAAACACGGCAGCACGGGGUCCCUUGGGUACUGUGCUUACCAGGUGUUUAAUAUUAUCAGAGGUUAUUUGCUGAAACCGUGAUAGAGUGUUCUCAGCGAUUCAAAAUAAAUUUAACGAGAACAGUUUUAAAAGCCCCCACAUUAGAGGAUGUCUGUUCAAUGGACAGGGAGGUUAAAGUUAAUUCGAUCAGGCAUAUGUACUUUCUCCAAAAGGGAACAUAUGCACUCAGCGGCUUGGCCCCAUUUGUUGCAAUUUUGGGUCUCAUUUCCAUUUGCAAGAAAGAUAACUACUUGCAUAUGGAAGCAAUAAAUAAGAGAAGUCAUUAACAUUUCUCUAAUUUAGGGGAAGAAAAAAAAAAAGUCUUAACGAAGUAAUAUCUUUGCCAGGGCAGACAGAAAUGUAAAUUGGAGAUUGGAAGGAAACCUAUUAAAGGAAUUGCUAUGUUACUAGUCUUUUUUAAUCUAAUGAAUUUAUGAAUUGCCACUUGUUAGGUCAUAGACUUCGUUAAUUUCCUAUGUGUUUAGUUAAGGAGAGAAAGUAUGGGGCAGGAGGAAGGAGGGGUGAAAGGAAAAUGCUUGUGAACAAUGAACCUGAGCAAAUAUUUUUGUACAAUGUGUUAAGGCUAUUAGGUUCAAAAUUUGUGACUAAAACCAGCUUUAUUUAGAAAAUCUGAGAAAUGUUGCUCUGUACAUCUAUUGAACAGAACAAUAGAAGUUUUUAAAACUUU
Long non-coding RNA from Parus major (Great Tit), 1201 nucleotides. RefSeq lists it as uncharacterized. The transcript has 4 exons. The record is from RefSeq and is a predicted model, not a curated record. Lineage: Eukaryota; Metazoa; Chordata; Aves; Passeriformes; Paridae.